This 536-nucleotide ribosomal RNA is filed under the name uncultured bacterium. RNAcentral describes it as "partial 16S ribosomal RNA". It matches the Rfam family "Bacterial small subunit ribosomal RNA", at positions 355 to 874 of the family's 1533-position model. The record is from RNAcentral.
UGGGGAAUAUUGCACAAUGGGCGCAAGCCUGAUGCAGCCAUGCCGCGUGUGUGAAGAAGGCCUCGGGUUGUAAAGCACUUUCAGCGAGGAGGAAGGUGGUGGACUUAAUACGUUCAUCAAUUGACGUUACUCGCAGAAGAAGCACCGGCUAACUCCGUGCCAGCAGCCGCGGUAAUACGGAGGGUGCAAGCGUUAAUCGGAAUUACUGGGCGUAAAGCGCACGCAGGCGGUUUGUUAAGUCAGAUGUGAAAUCCCCGGGCUCAACCUGGGAACUGCAUUUGAAAACUGGCAAGCUAGAGUCUCGUAGAGGGGGGUAGAAUUCCAGGUGUAGCGGUGAAAUGCGUAGAGAUCUGGAGGAAUACCGGUGGCGAAGGCGGCCCCCCUGGACGAAGACUGACGCUCAGGUGCGAAAAGGCGUGGGGGAGCAAAACAGGAUUAGAUACCCCUGGUAGUCCACGCUGUAAAACGAUGUCGAUUUUGGAGGUUGUGCCCCUUNAGGCGUGGCUUCCGGAGCUAACGCGUUAAAUCGACCGCCU